UUUGUGGUAGUAAUAAAGCAUUUCCUGGACUAUCGAAGAUUAUAUAUAUAAGAUCGAUUUCUUGGCAACGGAAUGCAAUUGAAUUGAGUUAAACGACGAUCAACACGAUUAAAGAACGAUGUUCAAAAUGAGAUUUUGUGCAGUUUUAUUAUUUCUAAUACUGUGCACAACGUCGCUUGUAAUGACACAAAUACUAGCACAUGUAUUGCCCUAUCCGGGCGACUGCAGCAAAUAUCAACAAUGCGAUGCAAGUGGUUGCUUUGUCAUGAGCUGCGGUAGAGGAACAGAAUUUAAUCCGGCUAUAAAUACUUGUGAUUAUCCUCUGAGAGACCGAACAGGAUGUAGUAAUCGUGGAUGAAAAUUUUGAUCUACAACUUCACCAGAAGCUACUGUAAGACGCAGAAUUAUUUUGCAGUACUUGAUUCUAUUUGAAUGUAUGGACAUUACUAUAUUGUGCAAAUAAAGUUAUGGUAUUAGUUUAAAUUAUGUCACAUUGACCAUUAAAUUAUUCAUACAUCACUGCCUUUGACAAUCAAUAACUUCUCUGCCGCUAAUUUAAAAUAGAAAACUAAAUUAUGUACAAGUAAAAAAAAAACAAAAUUGUUGCAAAUUAUUUUUGUAUAUAGACUAUAAUAUCGCGAGCAUCGAAAGUGAUUGCGAUAGUAUCGUUGCUCAUAACGCUUAUGUACGAUGUAAUAACGAGGAGCAAUAGGCGACGAUUAAACGAUGUCCGGCGAGUGGAUGCGAAAAUAGUAUCAUGACAGUACGGACGCGACCUUCGUUUACGCAUUGAGCAGAUAAGAGAUUUUUCUCAGCUUCAGAUAAACUCAUCCUGCAAACCGUGCUAGAAACAACGUAGUUUCCGCGGUGACGAUCAGCUUCAAUAAAAUUCCCAUCAGAUUGCACAACGUGAUCUGCAAUAAAUACCACAAUUCUCCGACUACGACGUGUAAUUGUAGCUGAACAGGAUCCCAGGAUUGUAUACGAUGAUGUCGUUCCGAUUGUUAACUCUAUUGCUUCUGGUGUACUGUUGUCACCUUAUUUCUGCUACCAAGAGGAUAAGAGUAGAUGGCAAAUCUUACACAGUGUCGGCGUACCCAGAGGACUGCAGCAAAUACGUGAUGUGCAGUAAUGGCAAAUGCAAGCUGGAGACAUGCGCGCCCACCUACGUUUUCGAUCCGGUCACCUCUACCUGCAGCCAUCGACGCAGAUCCGCCAACUGCGACUUCAGCCUCCCGCGGAAAUUAUAAAUAGCGACAUAAAAGCAUCCCUCGUAUAAUAAUAUUUUCCAAAAAGGGUUAAUAAAAAAAAUGCCGCAUAUAAAUAGCAUAUUUCAUUCAUUUAUAUCGUUCGUGCCGGUUCCUUUGUAAAGCCAGCUUGUAGUAAUCAACGAGAGCCAGAAGUUUGUUCGCGCACCGUCGAUUGGCAAAUAGCUCUGUUUACAGUCGCUGGUUUAUUGCGUCGAUUCACAUACACAUGUCGGCAUUCUUUUUAUUUUACGCGCACACACACAUGAAAAAUAUUAUAAAUUCCGAGUAGUCUUUCUUUUCCUUACUAUUCUUAAUUAUCUAUAACUUCUCCAUUCUGUUUUCCUUUUUCUUCGUUGUACGCCGAACUGAAAUGAACCUCGACCUUUUCAACUGAUAACCCUCCAGUUUCCAUGACUCAGACUAUUUGUUUUCAGAGGCUAUCUGCUUCUGAGUAAAACGGCGUCGAUCGGUAAUCUAAUUGAGAGUUUACAAGGAGUCGAGAAUCAGUGUAGUACAAUGCUUGGUGUAUUGUGAAAGCAUCGAAGAUGAUGUGUUUAAAGCAUUUCCUCGUCGUGAUCGGUCUCGUUUAUUUAGCCGUUUUUUCUUCCGCGGUAUGUGAUAGAAUUGUUGUGGCUCUUAGUGAUACAUACAAUCGCUUUAAUUUCCGUUAUUUUACUCAAAACUGUUUAAAGUUGUAAUCCGAAUGUGAAUUAAACUGACUAAAAUUAGGUUAUAAGAGAAAAGCAAAUAUUUGAUAUUUCCAAAAAUAUUAUAACGAAAUAAUACAAGUGCAGCGUAAAAA
Molecule: long non-coding RNA, 2052 nt
Organism: Camponotus floridanus (Florida carpenter ant)
Lineage: Eukaryota; Metazoa; Arthropoda; Insecta; Hymenoptera; Formicidae
Exons: 3
Source: RefSeq, a predicted model, not a curated record